Molecule: ribosomal RNA, 367 nt
Filed under: uncultured eukaryote
Lineage: Eukaryota
Description: partial 18S ribosomal RNA
Rfam family: Eukaryotic small subunit ribosomal RNA
Source: RNAcentral
CAGUAGCGUAUAUUAAAGUUGUUGCAGUUAAAAUGCUCGUAGUUGAAGUUCGGAUGCAGCAGAGCUUGGAAACGCUGUUAUGGUGCUUCCGUUGCUUUUGCUUGUCCACAGUGCGUUGCAAGUACGUAUGUGCUUGUGCGUGCAUUUUACUUUGAGAAACAUAGGGUGUUCCACGCAUGUUACGGCAUGAAUAUUCCAGCAUGGGAUAAUCUGGUACGACUUCCAAUCUGCCAUUUUGGUUCGUAGGUUGGAAGUAAUGAUUAAUAGGGACUGUCGGGGGCAUUGGUAUUUGACUGUCAGAGGUGAAAUUCUUAGAUUCGUUGAGGACCAACCACUGCGAAAGCAUUUGCCAAGGAUGUUUUCAUUA